This 683-nucleotide ribosomal RNA is filed under the name uncultured bacterium. RNAcentral's name for it is "bacterial SSU rRNA". It matches the Rfam family "Bacterial small subunit ribosomal RNA", at positions 8 to 721 of the family's 1533-position model. The record is from RNAcentral.
AGAGUUUGAUCAUGGCUCAGGAUGAACGCUGGCGGCGUGCCUAACACAUGCAAGUCGAGCGAUUUACUUCGGUAAAGAGCGGCGGACGGGUGAGUAACGCGUGGGUAACCUGCCCUAUACACACGGAUAACAUACCGAAAGGUAUGCUAAUACGAGAUAAUGUAAGAGAUUCACAUGGAUUUCUUAUCAAAGCUGAGGCGGUAUAGGAUGGACCCGCGUCUGAUUAGCUAGUUGGUAAGGUAACGGCUUACCAAGGCGACGAUCAGUAGCCGACCUGAGAGGGUGAUCGGCCACAUUGGAACUGAGACACAGUCCAAACUCCUACGGGAGGCAGCAGUGGGGAAUAUUGCACAAUGGGCGAAAGCCUGAUGCAGCAACGCCGCGUGAGUGAUGAAGGCCUUCGGGUCGUAAAACUCUGUCCUCAAGGAAGAUAAUGACGGUACUUGAGGAGGAAGCCCCGGCUAACUACGUGCCAGCAGCCGCGGUAAUACGUAGGGGGCUAGCGUUAUCCGGAUUUACUGGGCGUAAAGGGUGCGUAGGUGGUCUCUUAAGUCAGGAGGAAAGGCUACUGCUUAACCGUAGUAGCUCUUGAAACUGGGAGACUUGAUUGCAGGAGAGGAAAGUAUAUGUCUUAGUGUAGCAGUGCCAUGGGUGGAUAUUAAGAGGAGAAGCAGUAUGAAAUG